Molecule: ribosomal RNA, 305 nt
Filed under: uncultured bacterium
Lineage: Bacteria
Description: bacterial SSU rRNA
Rfam family: Bacterial small subunit ribosomal RNA
Source: RNAcentral
UCGGCCUACGGGGGGCAGCAGUGAGGAAUAUUGGUCAAUGGACGAGAGUCUGAACCAGCCAAGUAGCGUGAAGGAUGACUGCCCUAUGGGUUGUAAACUUCUUUUAUAUGGGAAUAAAAUGUUCCACGUGUGGGAUUUUGUAUGUACCAUAUGAAUAAGGAUCGGCUAACUCCGUGCCAGCAGCCGCGGUAAUACGGAGGAUCCGAGCGUUAUCCGGAUUUAUUGGGUUUAAAGGGAGCGUAGGUGGAUUGUUAAGUCAGCGGUAAAAUUUCGGGGCUCAACCCCGUCGUGCCGUUGAAACUGGC